This 253-nucleotide ribosomal RNA is filed under the name uncultured bacterium. Its description in RNAcentral is "partial 16S ribosomal RNA". It matches the Rfam family "Bacterial small subunit ribosomal RNA", at positions 524 to 776 of the family's 1533-position model. The record is from RNAcentral.
UACGUAGGUGGCAAGCGUUGUCCGGAUUUACUGGGCGUAAAGGGCGUGCAGGCGGUUUGUUAAGUCUAGGGUGAAAGCUCCCGGCUCAACUGGGAGAGGUCCUUGGAUACUGGCAGACUUGAGGAGGGUAGAGGAGAGUGGAAUUCCCGGUGUAGUGGUGAUAUGCGUAGAUAUCAGGAGGAACACCGAUGGCGAAGGCAGGUCUCUGGGCUGACACUGACGCUCAUGCACGAAAGCGUGGGGAGCAAACAGG